GAUGAACGCUGGCGGCGUGCCUAAUACAUGCAAGUCGAGCGAACGGACCAGAAGUUUUCUUCUCUGAUGUUAGCGGCGGACGGGUGAGUAACACGUGUAUAACCUACCUAUCCGACUGGGAUAACUUCGGGAAACCGGAGCUAAUACCGGAUGAUAUUUUGAACCUCAUGGUUCAAAAGUGAAAGACGGUCUUUCUGUCACUUAUAGCUUGAUCCGCGCUGCAUUAGCUAGUUGGUAAGGUAACGGCUUACCAAGGCAACGAUGCAUAGCCGACCUGAGCGGGUGAUCGGCCACACGGGAAGUGAGACACGGUCCAGACUCCGACGGGAGGCAGCAGUAGGGAAUCUUCCGCAAUGGGCGAAAGCCUGACGGAGCAACGCCGCGGGAGUGAUGAAGGUCUUCGGAUCGUAAAACUCUGUUAUUAGGGAAGAACAUAUGUGUAAGUAACUGUGCACAUCUUGACGGUACCGAAUCAGAAAGCCACGGCUAACUACGUG
RNAcentral lists this ribosomal RNA (497 nucleotides) under uncultured bacterium. Its description in RNAcentral is "partial 16S ribosomal RNA". It matches the Rfam family "Bacterial small subunit ribosomal RNA", at positions 28 to 507 of the family's 1533-position model. The record is from RNAcentral.